This 454-nucleotide ribosomal RNA is filed under the name uncultured bacterium. RNAcentral's name for it is "partial 16S ribosomal RNA". It matches the Rfam family "Bacterial small subunit ribosomal RNA", at positions 29 to 523 of the family's 1533-position model. The record is from RNAcentral.
AACGAACGCUGGCGGCAUGCCUAACACAUGCAAGUCGAGCGCCUGUAGCAAUACAGGAGCGGCGCACGGGUGAGUAACGCGUGGGAACCUGCCCUUAGGUUCGGAACAACCGCGGGAAACUGCGGCUGAUACCGGAUGAUGUCUUCGGACCAAAGAUUUAUCGCCUUUGGAGGGGCCCGCGUCGGAUUAGGUAGUUGGUGAGGUAACGGCUCACCAAGCCUGCGAUCCGUAGCUGGUCUGAGAGGAUGACCAGCCACACUGGGACUGAGACACGGCCCAGACUCCUACGGGAGGCAGCAGUGGGGAGUAUUGGACAAUGGAGGAAACUCUGACGCAGCGACGCCGCGUGAGUGACGAAGGACUUCGGUUCGUAAAGCUCUGUUGCAAGGGAAAAAGAAAGUGAUUGUACCUUGUGAGGAAGGGUCGGCUAACUUCGUGCCAGCCGCCGCGGUAA